GCAUAUCAAUAAGCGGAGGAAAAGAAACCAACAGGGAUUGCCCUAGUAACGGCGAGUGAAGCGGCAACAGCUCAAAUUUGAAAUCUGGCUUUCGGGCCCGAGUUGUAAUUUGUAGAGGAUGAUUUUGAUGCGGUGCCUUCCGAGUUCCCUGGAACGGGACGCCAUAGAGGGUGAGAGCCCCGUCUGGUUGGAUGCCAAAUCUCUGUAAAUCUCCUUCGACGAGUCGAGUAGUUUGGGAAUGCUGCUCUAAAUGGGAGGUAUAUGUCUUCUAAAGCUAAAUACCGGCCAGAGACCGAUAGCGCACAAGUAGAGUGAUCGAAAGAUGAAAAGCACUUUGAAAAGAGAGUUAAAAAGUACGUGAAAUUGUUGAAAGGGAAGCGUUUAUGACCAGACUUGGGCUUGGUUAAUCAUCUGGGGUUCUCUCCAGUGCACUUUUCCAGUCCAGGCCAGCAUCAGUUUUCGCCGGGGGAUAAAGGCUUCGGGAAUGUGGCUCCCCUCGGGGAGUGUUAUAGCCCGUUGUGUAAUACCCUGGUGGGGACUGAGGUUCGCGCUUCUGCAAGGAUGCUGGCGUAAUGGUCAUCAACGACCCGUCUUGAAACACGGACCAAGGAGUCGUCUUCGUAUGCGAGUGUUCGGGUGUCAAACCCCUACGCGUAAUGAAAGUGAACGCAGGUGAGAGCUUCGGCGCAUCAUCGACCGAUCCUGAUGUUCUCGGAUGGAUUUGAGUAAGAGCAUACGGGGCCGGACCCGAAAGAAGGUGAACUAUGCCUGUGUAGGGUGAAGCCAGAGGAAACUCUGGUGGAGGCUCGCAGCGGUUCUGACGUGCAAAUCGAUCGUCAAACAUGGGCAUGGGGGSCGAAAAGACUAAUCGAACCUUCUAGUAGCUGGUUUCCCGCCGAAG
RNAcentral lists this ribosomal RNA (901 nucleotides) under Fusarium graminearum. Its description in RNAcentral is "LSU rRNA". It matches the Rfam family "Eukaryotic large subunit ribosomal RNA", at positions 38 to 966 of the family's 3401-position model. Lineage: Eukaryota; Fungi; Ascomycota; Sordariomycetes; Hypocreales; Nectriaceae. The record is from RNAcentral.